Molecule: ribosomal RNA, 355 nt
Filed under: uncultured bacterium
Lineage: Bacteria
Description: bacterial SSU rRNA
Rfam family: Bacterial small subunit ribosomal RNA
Source: RNAcentral
GGAAGGUCCGGGCGUUAUCCGGAUUUAUUGGGUUUAAAGGGAGCGUAGAUGGAUGUUUAAGUCAGUUGUGAAAGUUUGCGGCUCAACCGUAAAAUUGCAGUUGAUACUGGAUGUCUUGAGUGCAGUUGAGGCAGGCGGAAUUCGUGGUGUAGCGGUGAAAUGCGUAGAUAUUAGGAGGAACACCAGUGGCGAAGGCGGAUUGCUGGACGACAACUGACGGUGAGGCGCGAAAGCGAGGGGAGCAAACAGGAUUAGAUACCCUGGUAGUCCACGCUGUAAACGAUGAAUACUAGGUGUGCGGGGACUGACCCCCUGUGUGCCGCAGCUAACGCAAUAAGUAUUCCACCUGGGGAGU